This 406-nucleotide ribosomal RNA is filed under the name uncultured bacterium. Its description in RNAcentral is "partial 16S ribosomal RNA". It matches the Rfam family "Bacterial small subunit ribosomal RNA", at positions 30 to 526 of the family's 1533-position model. The record is from RNAcentral.
AUUGAACGCUGGCGGCAGGCCUUACCAAUGCAAGUCGAACGAGUGGCGGACGGGUGAGUCAUGUCUGGGAAACUGCCUGAUGGAGGGGGCUAACUACUGGAAACGGUAGCUAAUACCGCAUACCAUCGGAUGUGCCCAGAUGGGAUUAGCUAGAAGGUGGGGUACAGGCUCACCUAGGCGACGAUCCCUAGCUGGUCUGAGAGGAUGACCAGCGACACAGAAACGUAGACACGGUGCAGACUCCUACGAGAGGCAGCAGUGGGGAAUAUUGCACAGUGAGCGCAAGCCUGAUGAAGCCAUACCGCGUGUAUGAAGAAGGCCUUCGGGUUGUAAAGCACUUUCAGCGGGGAGGCGUUACCCGCAGAAGAAGCACCGGCUAACUCCGUGCCAGCAGCCGCGGUAAUAC